This 466-nucleotide ribosomal RNA is filed under the name uncultured bacterium. Its description in RNAcentral is "partial 16S ribosomal RNA". It matches the Rfam family "Bacterial small subunit ribosomal RNA", at positions 28 to 507 of the family's 1533-position model. The record is from RNAcentral.
GAUGGACGCUGGCGGCGUGCUUAACACAUGCAAGUCGAACGAUGAAGCCCAGCUUGCUGGGUGGAUUAGUGGCGAACGGGUGAGUAACACGUGAGUAACCUGCCCUUGACUCUGGGAUAAGCCUGGGAAACUGGGUCUAAUACUGGAUAUGACUUCUCAUCGCAUGGUGGGGGGUGGAAAGAUUUAUUGGUCUUGGAUGGACUCGCGGCCUAUCAGCUUGUUGGUGAGGUAAUGGCUCACCAAGGCGACGACGGGUAGCCGGCCUGAGAGGGUGACCGGCCACACGGGGACUGAGACACGGCCCAGACUCCUACGGGAGGCAGCAGUGGGGAAUAUUGCACAAUGGGCGCAAGCCUGAUGCAGCGACGCCGCGUGAGGGAUGACGGCCUUCGGGUUGUAAACCUCUUUCAGUAGGGAAGAAGAGAGAGUGACGGUACCUGCAGAAGAAGCGCCGGCUAACUACGUG